Molecule: small RNA, 275 nt
Filed under: marine eukaryotic metagenome
Description: 5' ureB small RNA
Rfam family: 5' ureB small RNA
Source: RNAcentral
AAUUUGUUGCGGACAAAUAAAAUGAAUAUGCGCAUCAAUACCACCUGCCGUUAGAAUUUUUCCUUCACCUGCAAUAAUUUCGGUACCUGGGCCAAUAAUAAUAUCGACACUUUGCUGAGUAUCUGGGUUACCCGCUUUACCAAUGGCAGCAAUACGUCCGUCUUUAAUGCCCACAUCUGCUUUAAUAAUGCCCCAAUGAUCAACAAUUAAUGCAUUAGUGAUCACCAGAUCCAUUGAAACACUGGAGUCACACUGACUUUGACCCAUGCCAUCAC